This 65-nucleotide transfer RNA is filed under the name Ectropis grisescens. RNAcentral's name for it is "tRNA-Thr". It matches the Rfam family "tRNA". Rfam says of the family: Transfer RNA (tRNA) molecules are approximately 80 nucleotides in length. Their secondary structure includes four short double-helical elements and three loops (D, anti-codon, and T loops). Lineage: Eukaryota; Metazoa; Arthropoda; Insecta; Lepidoptera; Geometridae. The record is from RNAcentral.
GUUUUUAUAGUUUAAAUUAAAACAUUGGUCUUGUAAACCAAAAAUAAGAAAUUUCUUUUGAAACU